GUCGUCGUGGCCCGAGUGGUUAAGGCGACAGACUAGAAUUCUGUUGGGCUCUGCCCGCACAGGUUCGAAUCCUGUCGGCGACG
Non-coding RNA from Ciona savignyi (Pacific transparent sea squirt), 83 nucleotides. The record is from Rfam. NCBI's taxonomy places the organism in Eukaryota, Metazoa, Chordata, Ascidiacea, Phlebobranchia, Cionidae.